AGCAGCCGCGGUAAUUCCAGCUCCAAUAGCGUAUAUUAAAGUUGUUGCAGUUAAAAAGCUCGUAGUUGAAUUUCAGGCCUGGCUGGACGGUCCGCCCUUCGGGUGAGUACUGUCUGUGGUCGGGUCCUACCUUCUGGCGAAGCGUCAUGGCCUUAACCGGCCGUGGCGGGGAACCAGGACUUUUACUGUGAAAAAAUUAGAGUGUUCAAAGCAGGCAAAUCGCUUGGAUACAUUAGCAUGGAAUAAUGGAAUAGGACGAUGGUUCUACUUGUUGGUUUCUAGGACCGUUGUAAUGAUUAAUAGGGAUAGUUGGGGGCAUUAGUAUUCAAUUGUCAGAGGUGAAAUUCUUGGAUUUAUUGAAGACUAACUACUGCGAAAGCAUUUGCCAAGGAUGUUUUCAUUAAUCAAGAACGAAAGUUAGGGGAUCGAAGACGAUCAGAUACCGUCGUAGUCUUAACCAUAAACUAUGCCGACUAGGAAUCGGGCGAUGUUGACAAAAAUGACGCGCUCGGCACCUCAU
Molecule: ribosomal RNA, 520 nt
Filed under: uncultured Paraglomus
Lineage: Eukaryota; Fungi; Glomeromycota; Glomeromycetes; Paraglomerales; Paraglomeraceae
Description: SSU rRNA
Rfam family: Eukaryotic small subunit ribosomal RNA
Source: RNAcentral